AGUGAACGCUGGCGGUAGGCUUAACACAUGCAAGUCGAACGGCAGCACAGUAAGAGCUUGCUCUUACGGGUGGCGAGUGGCGGACGGGUGAGGAAUACAUCGGAAUCUACUUUUUCGUGGGGGAUAACGUAGGGAAACUUACGCUAAUACCGCAUACGACCUACGGGUGAAAGCAGGGGAUCUUCGGACCUUGCGCGAUUGAAUGAGCCGAUGUCGGAUUAGCUAGUUGGCGGGGUAAAGGCCCACCAAGGCGACGAUCCGUAGCUGGUCUGAGAGGAUGAUCAGCCACACGGGAAGUGAGACAGGGUCCAGACUCCUACGGGAGGGAGCAGUGGGGAAUAUUGGACAAUGGGCGCAAGCCUGAUCCAGCCAUACCGCGUGGGUGAAGGAGGCCUUCGGGUUGUAAAGCCCUUUUGUUGGGAAAGAAAAGCAGCAGGUUAAUACCCCGCUGUUCUGACGGUACCCAAAGAAUAAGCACCGGCUAACUUCGUG
RNAcentral lists this ribosomal RNA (492 nucleotides) under uncultured bacterium. RNAcentral's name for it is "partial 16S ribosomal RNA". It matches the Rfam family "Bacterial small subunit ribosomal RNA", at positions 29 to 507 of the family's 1533-position model. The record is from RNAcentral.